GCGUCUGUAGCUCAUCUGGAUAUAGCAUCGGACUUCUAAGCCGAGGGUAGCAGGUUCGAAUCCUGCCAGACGUGCCA
Molecule: transfer RNA, 77 nt
Filed under: Francisella tularensis subsp. holarctica
Lineage: Bacteria; Pseudomonadati; Pseudomonadota; Gammaproteobacteria; Thiotrichales; Francisellaceae
Description: tRNA-Arg
Rfam family: tRNA
About the family: Transfer RNA (tRNA) molecules are approximately 80 nucleotides in length. Their secondary structure includes four short double-helical elements and three loops (D, anti-codon, and T loops). Further hydrogen bonds mediate the characteristic L-shaped molecular structure. tRNAs have two regions of fundamental functional importance: the anti-codon, which is responsible for specific mRNA codon recognition, and the 3' end, to which the tRNAs corresponding amino acid is attached (by aminoacyl-tRNA synthetases). tRNAs cope with the degeneracy of the genetic code in two manners: having more than one tRNA (with a specific anti-codon) for a particular amino acid; and 'wobble' base-pairing, i.e. permitting non-standard base-pairing at the 3rd anti-codon position.
Source: RNAcentral